ACUCGAGUGGCGAACGGGUGAGUAACACGUGGGUGAUCUGCCCUGCACUUCGGGAUAAGCUUGGGGAACUGGGUCUAAUACCGGAUAGGAGCCAUCUUUAGUGUGGUGGUUGGAAAGUUUUUCGGUGUAGGAUGAGCUCGCGGCCUAUCAGCUUGUUGGUGGGGUAAUGGCCUACCAAGGCGGCGACGGGUAGCCGGCCUGAGAGGGUGUACGGCCACAUUGGGACUGAGAUACGGCCCAG
This 241-nucleotide ribosomal RNA is filed under the name uncultured Actinomycetales bacterium. RNAcentral's name for it is "partial 16S ribosomal RNA". It matches the Rfam family "Bacterial small subunit ribosomal RNA", at positions 89 to 334 of the family's 1533-position model. The record is from RNAcentral. Lineage: Bacteria; Bacillati; Actinomycetota; Actinomycetes; Actinomycetales.